UCGCCUGUUUUAACAAAAACAUUUCUUCUAGUGUGUAAAUGGGGGUAGGCCCUGCCCACUGCAAUGUAAAGGGCCGCAUUAGCCUGAGUGUGCUAAGGUAGCGCGAUAAUUUGCCUUUUAAUUAAAGGCUGGUAUGAAUGGGUUAACGCGAGAGUUUCUGUGUCAAAUAAAAGAGUUAAAUUUAAUUUUUAGGUGAAGAAGCCUAAAUAGCCUAGGAGGACGACAAGACCCUAGAAUCUGGUUUAAUCUGGCUAGUUAAGUAGUUGGAGUAAUAUUUGUUGGGGCAACAAGAUUAGUAGGAAUAAUCUGGUAUAAGAGACUUAUUCGUUGGUUCUGUUUUUACAAAGAUAGUAAGUUACUCUAGGGAUAACAGCGUAAUUUCUUUUGAUAGUUCUUAUUGAAAAUGAAGUUUGCGACCUCGAUGUUGAAUUAAGGUAGCCUUAAGGUGUAGCCGCUUUAAA
RNAcentral lists this ribosomal RNA (461 nucleotides) under Xenostrobus securis. RNAcentral describes it as "partial 16S ribosomal RNA". It matches the Rfam family "Bacterial large subunit ribosomal RNA", at positions 1796 to 2568 of the family's 2925-position model. The record is from RNAcentral. Lineage: Eukaryota; Metazoa; Mollusca; Bivalvia; Mytilida; Modiolidae.